UACGUAGGGUGCGAGCGUUAAUCGGAAUUACUGGGCGUAAAGCGUGCGCAGGCGGUUAUGUAAGACAGAGGUGAAAACCCCGGGCUCAACCUGGGAACUGCCUUUGUGACUGCAUGACUAGAGUACGGCAGAGGGGGAUGGAAUUUCCCGUGUAGCAGUGAAAUGCGUAGAUAUGCGGAGGAACACCGAUGGCGAAGGCAAUCCCCUGGGCCUGCACUGACGCUCAUGCACGAAAGCGUGGGGAGCAAACAGG
Molecule: ribosomal RNA, 253 nt
Filed under: uncultured bacterium
Lineage: Bacteria
Description: partial 16S ribosomal RNA
Rfam family: Bacterial small subunit ribosomal RNA
Source: RNAcentral